RNAcentral lists this ribosomal RNA (468 nucleotides) under uncultured bacterium. Its description in RNAcentral is "partial 16S ribosomal RNA". It matches the Rfam family "Bacterial small subunit ribosomal RNA", at positions 28 to 507 of the family's 1533-position model. The record is from RNAcentral.
GACGAACGCUGGCGGCGUGCUUAACACAUGCAAGUCGAACGGAAAGGCCCUGCUUUUGUGGGGUGCUCGAGUGGCGAACGGGUGAGUAACACGUGAGUAACCUGCCCUUGACUUUGGGAUAACUUCAGGAAACUGGGGCUAAUACCGGAUAGGAGCUCCUGCUGCAUGGUGGGGGUUGGAAAGUUUCGGCGGUUGGGGAUGGACUGGCGGCUUAUCGGCUUGUUGGUUGGGUAGUGGAUAACCAAGGCUUGGAGGGGUAGCCGGGCUGAGAGGAGAGGCGGCCACAUUACGACGGGAAUAAGGCACAGCCCAGAAUGGGACGGGACGGAGGAGUAGGGUAUAUUGGAGGAGGGACGCUGAUCUGGUCACGCAACGUGGGGGGAGAGGUGCAUGGGGUAGGAAACCAAAGUCGUCUUAGACGAGACGAGAGUGACGGUAAUGGGUAAAGAAGCACCGGCUAACUACGUG